This 2532-nucleotide long non-coding RNA is filed under the name Mytilus galloprovincialis (Mediterranean mussel). Lineage: Eukaryota; Metazoa; Mollusca; Bivalvia; Mytilida; Mytilidae. The record is from RNAcentral.
AGAAAAUUAAGAAUCUUUUUAAAUUUUGGUAAAUGACCUUUCAUGAGCUAUUAAGUCUUAUAUGAAAAAAUAAAUGGGUGUUAUUGGGCAAAAUAUUUUACAUUGAAUUGUAUGGAAAAAAACCAAGGAGUCCGAACAUUUGACACAAAUUUCAAAAUCUCACCUAAGUACAUCCUUAAUACCAUAUUAUGAAUUUUGUUUGUUUCUUAAGUCCCUGCCUUAUUGUGACUAUUUGGAUGCUUCAUUCUCUAUUUUAUUCUGACACUGAAUUUUAAAACUUUUUAAUCUUUUAAAAUUUUUAAACAUCUGUUAAGACAUUCAACCCAAUACUGACAAUAGUGUCAAUUUACAGUUAUUUCCCAUGAUUAAAAACAAUGUCAUACUUUAUUACUCCUGAUAAGUUAGGUUACUGCUGAUAAAAUGCACAUUUGAAUAAUUAUGUCGGCAAAGAGAAAAAACAAUGUCUUGUGCAAAAAUUACUAGAAAUAUAUUCUAAAAAUUAUAUAAAAAAAAAAAAAAAUCCAAAAUUGAAGACUUUAGAAACUUUUAUUCUAUUUUAUCUUUAUUCAGUUUUAAAGUUACAUGUAAUCUAGUAAUCCUAGCAUCUCAUUAAAAUUUUGUUUUAAUUUACAUUUUGUUGACUGAUUAGAUAUAAUUGAAUGUAAUAUGAACAAAAGAAAUGUAAGAAUAGUGUAUCGCUUAAAAAACUUAUUGUCCUUCUUGAUUCCGUAUUUUAAAGCAAACUUACAUUAGAAAGAAAAAAAGUAUCUUUGAGUAGCUGUCUCAUUGAUGUUUAAGUCACACUUUGUCCAUAAGUAACAUAUUCUUACUUAGAAUGAACCUGCAGAGGAGAUAAUUUACAGGGUUUACUUAGAAUGAACCUGCAGAGGAGAUAAUUUACAGGGUUUUAUAAGUAUAAAUCCUCAGACAUAACAAUUGUGGAAGGGAUGGGAUUUUUAGAGUCUAUUUAUUGGUGGAAGAAAUACAACAUAUGUACAGAAAAACUUACUAUCGUGAUACAUCCUAACAAAUUCAAUAACCAUUGUGAAAGAAGAACAAGUUGUAGCCAUGGUGAUACUUGUGUCAAAAGUAUAUGAAAGCAAGUGCUGAAAGCAUAUUGUAUGUGUUUAAAUUAAUCAAAAUAUGUACUGUUAAACAGAUGUUUUAUUUGACAAAUAUAUCCUAUAGAUUCUUGCUAAAUUCAAACUUUAAAAUGGCAUCUAUGAUGUCAGAUUAGGGUUCACUUAACAGUAAGCAAUACCUAGUAGGUCAGGGGUUGUUUUAGGUUAAAGGUUAGAAUUGUGUAAGAGUUUAAAAGAUAUAGUUAUAGGCUUAGGUGUAGGGUUAAAGUUAGUUUUGUAUAGAUUGUUAUAUUGUGGAAGAAAAAAUUGCCAAAUAACCAUUUAUCACACAUCUAUAUAUCAGGGAUCUUGCUAAGGAUUUAUGGGCGAGUCCAGGGACUUGUCAUUUUUGGCCUCGGUGAGUCUAACAGCAAGAAGAAGAUAUUUUAUUGAAAUAUAAUGUAAUAUUUUAGUCUAACAGAGCAAUAGAAUGACAUUAAAUUCAGAUUACUUUUAACUUUUGCUGUAAAAUGAUGAUAUUUCAUAUUUGUGUUUAACUGUGUUCAGUUUAUACAAAAUAUUUUAAUCUUGAUGCAUCUGUGGAUCACCAGUUUGAAAAUGGUGAGUCCAGACAGAUUUUGAUGAGUCCAGGACUCAUGGACUCGCCUUAGCGAGAACCCUGUAUAUGCUUUAAUCAUAUGCUCUACUUAAUAGUUAAAAUUCUGAUUAUUGUAAAUAUAAAUUUUAAUGUACAUUUUCACAUUUGUUAGUGUUAGAAAUUUUUAAAAUAAAAGUUUUAUGAAGUGAAAAGGACAAUCAUAGUCUCAUAUUGGUGCCAAAAUUAAAAUUAAACUAAUUAUACUGAAGACAAUAAAAUUUAAACGAAGUUUUUGAAUAGUUUGUAGUAUUUCCUAGUUAAUAAUUGUUACUGUGGAUUCAUUUAUUUUCGUGGGUAUGACUUUUCGUGGAUUAAGGAUAACUUGCAUGUUUUCGUGGAUUAAGGAUAACUUGCAUGUUUUCGUGGAUUAAGGAUAACUUGCAUGUUUUCGUGGAUAAUUGAUUUCAUGGUUUUGCUGAAGUCUGCAUUGAAAACGUUUUAUUCGUUAAACAUUUAAUUUCGUGGUUCACCUAUACCCACUAAAGCCACGAAAAUUGGUAUCCAACGAAUAAUAAUGAAUCCACAGUACUUGAUAAAAUAAGACUUACUGUAAAGAGAACAUGUAGAAAAUAGGCUUAAAAUUUAAGGAUGUACUUAGGUGAGGUUAGGUGAAAAUUAAUAAAUUAAGAAGUUAAAAUUGAUACUAUAAGCUGGUAGAGCAUUAAUUAAAGAUUAAAAUAAGCUAAAAAUAUUGUUAGGUCAUGGACCGCCUUUUCAAGAUAUUUGAGAUUGUAAAUGUGGCGGGAAAGGCUGACUCGGACUUUUACCUUAUAUUUGCAUUGGUAUUAUUGUCUCAAACAAAAGAAGAAAAAA